Molecule: ribosomal RNA, 403 nt
Filed under: Bacteroidota bacterium
Lineage: Bacteria; Pseudomonadati; Bacteroidota
Description: Bacteroidetes bacterium partial 16S ribosomal RNA
Rfam family: Bacterial small subunit ribosomal RNA
Source: RNAcentral
UGGGGAAUCUUGCACAAUGGGGGAAACCCUGAUGCAGCGACGCCGCGUGAGCGAUGAAGGUUUUCGAAUCGUAAAGCUCUGUCCUAUGGGAAGAUAAUGACGGUACCAUAGGAGGAAGCCCCGGCUAACUACGUGCCAGCAGCCGAGGUAAUACGUAGGGGGCGAGCGUUGUCCGGAAUUACUGGGCGUAAAGGGUUCGCAGGCGGCAUGACAAGUCCGAUGUAAAAGGCGAAAGCUCAACUUUCGUAAGCAUCGGAAACUGUCAAGCUUGAGUGAAGGAGAGGCAAGUGGAAUUCCUAGUGUAGCGGUGGAAUGCGUAGAUAUUAGGAGGAAUACCGGUGGCGAAGGCGACUUGCUGGACUUCAACUGACACUGAGGAACGAAAGCGUGGGUAGCAAACAGG